UACAGAGGUCCCAAGCGUUGUUCGGAUUCACUGGGCGUAAAGGGUGCGUAGGUGGUGAGGUAAGUCGGAUGUGAAAGCUCGGAGCUCAACUCCGAAAUGGCAUUGGAAACUACCUUGCUCGAGGGUUGGAGGGGGGACUGGAAUUCUCGGUGUAGCAGUGAAAUGCGUAGAUAUCGAGAGGAACACCAGUGGCGAAGGCGAGUCUCUGGACGACUCCUGACGCUCAGGCGCGAAAGCUAGGGGAGCGAACUGG
This 253-nucleotide ribosomal RNA is filed under the name uncultured bacterium. RNAcentral's name for it is "partial 16S ribosomal RNA". It matches the Rfam family "Bacterial small subunit ribosomal RNA", at positions 524 to 776 of the family's 1533-position model. The record is from RNAcentral.